RNAcentral lists this ribosomal RNA (1272 nucleotides) under Salmonella enterica. RNAcentral's name for it is "partial 23S ribosomal RNA". It matches the Rfam family "Bacterial large subunit ribosomal RNA", at positions 657 to 1907 of the family's 2925-position model. RNAcentral also lists the same sequence under 2 other names. Lineage: Bacteria; Pseudomonadati; Pseudomonadota; Gammaproteobacteria; Enterobacterales; Enterobacteriaceae. The record is from RNAcentral.
AUAGGGGAGCCGCAGGGAAACCGAGUCUUAACCGGGCGUUAAGUUGCAGGGUAUAGACCCGAAACCCGGUGAUCUAGCCAUGGGCAGGUUGAAGGUUGGGUAACACUAACUGGAGGACCGAACCGACUAAUGUUGAAAAAUUAGCGGAUGACCUGUGGCUGGGGGUGAAAGGCCAAUCAAACCGGGAGAUAGCUGGUUCUCCCCGAAAGCUAUUUAGGUAGCGCCUCGUGAACUCAUCUUCGGGGGUAGAGCACUGUUUCGGCUAGGGGGUCAUCCCGACUUACCAACCCGAUGCAAACUGCGAAUACCGGAGAAUGUUAUCACGGGAGACACACGGCGGGUGCUAACGUCCGUCGUGAAGAGGGAAACAACCCAGACCGCCAGCUAAGGUCCCAAAGUCAUGGUUAAGUGGGAAACGAUGUGGGAAGGCCCAGACAGCCAGGAUGUUGGCUUAGAAGCAGCCAUCAUUUAAAGAAAGCGUAAUAGCUCACUGGUCGAGUCGGCCUGCGCGGAAGAUGUAACGGGGCUAAACCAUGCACCGAAGCUGCGGCAGCGACGCUUAUGCGUUGUUGGGUAGGGGAGCGUUCUGUAAGCCGUUGAAGGUGGCCUGUGAGGGUUGCUGGAGGUAUCAGAAGUGCGAAUGCUGACAUAAGUAACGAUAAAGCGGGUGAAAAGCCCGCUCGCCGGAAGACCAAGGGUUCCUGUCCAACGUUAAUCGGGGCAGGGUGAGUCGACCCCUAAGGCGAGGCCGAAAGGCGUAGUCGAUGGGAAACAGGUUAAUAUUCCUGUACUCGGUGUUACUGCGAAGGGGGGACGGAGAAGGCUAUGUUGGCCGGGCGACGGUUGUCCCGGUUUAAGCAUGUAGGCGGGUGUUCCAGGUAAAUCCGGAACGCUGUUAACGCUGAGGUGUGAUGACGAGGCACUACGGUGCUGAAGCAACAAAUGCCCUGCUUCCAGGAAAAGCCUCUAAGCAUCAGGUAACAUCAAAUCGUACCCCAAACCGACACAGGUGGUCAGGUAGAGAAUACCAAGGCGCUUGAGAGAACUCGGGUGAAGGAACUAGGCAAAAUGGUGCCGUAACUUCGGGAGAAGGCACGCUGAUGGUAGGUGAAGUGAUUUACUCAUGGAGCUGAAAUCAGUCGAAGAUACCAGCUGGCUGCAACUGUUUAUUAAAAACACAGCACUGUGCAAACACGAAAGUGGACGUAUACGGUGUGACGCCUGCCCGGUGCCGGAAGGUUAAUUGAUGGGGUUAUCCUCGCGGAGAAGCUC